GUUUCCCUUGUUCAGUCUCCGCCCUCUCCGUCACUCGCCACAAUCCUCCUGAUCUCUUCUGUCUCUCAUUGAAGACUGAGCUGAUCUACUCUCCUCAGUCUCUCGACUCUUAAUGGUCAGUCGAGAGUCAUGACCCUCAAUCCCUCAUCAGUUCCCUCUGAUUUUGGUUUCUAAAUCGACGCUCAACGUUCAGGCUUCUCUCCACUUCACAAUCAUUAAGUAGUGGUUAGCCAUUUCUCUACUUCUGCGAUUUAUAGGAUUCACAGGCUACCUCCCACAAUUGCUAUUUAUUUCUUAUUUAGAAGAUGUUCAAGUCUGAUUUAGACUUGCUGAGGAGCGAAAUUUCUAAAUUACGCUGCAUAUGUGUUGAAUCUAUUUUAUGUGCUUAUGGAAAUUGGAAAGGUUCUUAGAGAGGGGAUCAAGGAUACAACGAAGAAGUUGCG
RNAcentral lists this unclassified non-coding RNA (443 nucleotides) under Hevea brasiliensis (rubber tree). The record is from RNAcentral. Lineage: Eukaryota; Viridiplantae; Streptophyta; Magnoliopsida; Malpighiales; Euphorbiaceae.